GGACCUCCAGAGGGGCAGAAGUGACAGGAGUAGUGCUGGUGCUGGGAGCUGAUGAUUUUCUACACUUAAUGAGAACACAGACCCAAGACACGACCACAGGAGCCGAGAGCGGGAGACUGCACCAGCUUUGGAGGUGAGCUGUCGAGCACAUUGCUGGGGAAAGCCGGACAUGAGCGCCUCCUUCAGCAGCAGACACAGCCUAGGACCCGGCUGGGCUCAGGACCUCCCCUCCCAUCUCUAGUCCCACGAGGUUUGGAGGCAGUGGGGGAGGCAGCGGCCCAGCAAUGAAGAAGCCGAGAAGUGGAUGUCUGCCGCCCUCCCCUCCUCCCUCCCAGAAGUCCUGGAUGUGAAACUAACCCAGAGUGGAUGCUGAAGCUCAUCUUCCAAGUAAUCUUCAAUUUCUGGAGACUGCACGGCUUCCUGCUCAACGCCAGCUGGGCCUUCAUCCUAGAGAGGAGCAACUGGUAAGUAGAUGUGGCCCCCUCAGUGGUGGCCGUAGCCUGGGUACCAAAGAGGAAGGGAAGGGACAACCCAUUCCCUGGGGUUGGGUGGCCCAUGCAGACAGAGAUGUGGCCUUCAUUCCCAUAGCAUGGAGGGUCACGUGGGGUAGCCCCACAGGCAUGGGGAGAAAUGUAGGGGCCUGGUAGGCUUCAGUAGAGUGGGAGACCAUGGAGACAGAGUGGAUAGGAUGUUGGGGAAUGAGUCCCUGGUGCUCUGCAGAGAAUUAGGGGCCAAAGAACAUGGUAAGAGGGGGAGCCUUGGGUCUCCAGGAAAUGGGAGGGAGACCUGGAGGAAAAGUGUGUGCUGUUGAGUCAGAGUACAAAACCUAAGAAGUCUGGUUUGGAGAGACAUGUUAAUAAAAGUUUUGGUUUUAUAUUUUGGGGCUAAGAAUGACGGGAUGGAGGUAUUUUGUGUGAUGGGAGUGGAGGGUUAGAUGCCAUGGAAGAACCUGGGGCAUGCAAGGAGUUGGGAGCUGAAAUCAGGUAUUUUGUGUAUAUUGCCAUCCUAUGACAUAGAGAGGGAAAUUUAAGGAGUGUAUGGAGGAGGUCAGGUGACUUUCAGUAGAGUCAUAAUAGGGAGGAGCUGGUAGGUCUCCUAGUAGAACUGGUGGAGUCUCCGAGUGUUAGACCUGGACAGGGCCUGGGCACAAAACUUAGGAAAAUGAGAGUAAGAAAAUGGUGAGGGGUGUAGUGUGGUCUUUCUUAGGGACUGUGGUAUGUGUGCACGGUUAUUCAGGAAACUUCGAGAAAGGUGUCAGGCAUACCAGGGAUGGAGAGAGGCUUAUCUGGGAGAAAACUGGAUAGGUGUUGUGCUUAGGAAGACAAGAACCUGAUCUAGCCUGGAAUGCAAUUUGUGGUUGUGGUCAGCUUAUAGAAGUGUGAAUUGGGGCAGAGGACUCUCUCUUGGUAAAGGUGUAUUUGUUGUCUUUCAAAGAUGUUUCUGUUAUGUGCCAGCAUUUGUUCUCGUUAUUUAAUGUGAUGCAGGGAGCAACAUGAGGUACUUUGAAAAGUCUGUGGAAGGAAGCAGUUGUGAGUUUGUUGUCUUUCAAGACAUUUUGAUGAACUGCGCACAGCUUUGUCGUGGUGCAUGUUUUCCAUAUCCUUCUAGGCAGCUCUGUGAAACCUUCUGCCUAUGGGGAGUUUGCCUGGCCCUGGUGUGCAAGGAGGAGAGAGAGAGUGGCCUGUCGCUCGAGCAUGGCCUGUCGCUCGAGUGUGGCCAGGGCCCUGCCUGAGGGGAGCUGGGACUGGCCCUGGAUCCCCAGGAGGAGAAGGGGCCUGUCCCUAGAGGGUGACCAUGGCCAUAGCUCCAGGGAGCAGGGCCCGACCCUGCAGGGCAAGUACGGGAGUGAGGCCCAGCCCUGGAGGUUGGCCAAGGCCAUGGCUGAGUGGAGCUGGGCCCAGCCCUGGAGGUCAAGGAGUGCAGCAGAGCCUGGCCCAGGAGGGCGAGCAGUGGAGUGCGGUCUGGCCCUGGAUGGUGUUGAGGGCAGUGGGGCCAGGCCCUAGAGGGCCGCGUGUGGAUGGAGCCCAAUCCCUGGAGGGCGAGGAGGAGAGCGGGGUCCAGACUGGAGGGCAUUGAGGGGAGUGGGUUCCAGCCUUGGAGGACAGCGUGGAGAGCGGGGCCCCUGCCCUGAAGGGCCAGGAAGGGAUCAGGGUGUGGCCCUUGAGGGCGUUGAGGGCACUGGGGUCUGGACCUGGAGGGCAUUGAACAGAGCGGGGCUCAGGCCCUGGAGGGCAAGGAGGGGAUCAGGGUGUGGCCCUCGAGGGCGUUGAGGGCACUGGGGUCUGGACCUGGAGGGCAUUGAACAGAGCGGGGCUCAGGCCCUGGAGGGCAAGGAGGGGUGUGGGGCCCAGGCCCUGGACAGCCAAGAGGGGAGCAGUGUCCGGCCCUGGAGGGUGGUGAGGUGAGUGGGUCUCACAGCUGGAGGGCCUUGAGGGGAGUGGGGCUCAAGCCUGGAGAGCAGUCUGGGGGGCAGGGCCCGGCCCUUGAGGGUGAGGAGGAGGGCCGGGCCUGACCUUGGAGGGCGAGCAGGGGAGCAGAGCCCGGCCCUUGAGGGUUAGGCUUGGAGUGGGGCCCUUG
Molecule: long non-coding RNA, 2577 nt
Organism: Lepus europaeus (European hare)
Lineage: Eukaryota; Metazoa; Chordata; Mammalia; Lagomorpha; Leporidae
Exons: 3
Source: RefSeq, a predicted model, not a curated record